Molecule: ribosomal RNA, 771 nt
Filed under: uncultured bacterium
Lineage: Bacteria
Description: bacterial SSU rRNA
Rfam family: Bacterial small subunit ribosomal RNA
Source: RNAcentral
AGAGUUUGAUCCUGGCUCAGGACGAACGCUGGCGGCGUGCUUAACACAUGCAAGUCGAACGGAAAGGCCCUUCGGGGUACUCGAGUGGCGAACGGGUGAGUAACACGUGGGUGAUCUGCCCUGCACUUUGGGAUAAGCCUGGGAAACUGGGUCUAAUACCGAAUAUGACCAUGCACUUCCUGGUGUGUGGUGGAAAGCUUUUGCGGUGUGGGAUGGGCCCGCGGCCUAUCAGCUUGUUGGUGGGGUAAUGGCCUACCAAGGCGACGACGGGUAGCCGGCCUGAGAGGGUGACCGGCCACACUGGGACUGAGAUACGGCCCAGACUCCUACGGGAGGCAGCAGUGGGGAAUAUUGCACAAUGGGCGCAAGCCUGAUGCAGCGACGCCGCGUGAGGGAUGACGGCCUUCGGGUUGUAAACCUCUUUCAGCACAGACGAAGCGCAAGUGACGGUAUGUGCAGAAGAAGGACCGGCCAACUACGUGCCAGCAGCCGCGGUAAUACGUAGGGUCCGAACGUUGUCCGGAAUUACUGGGCGUAAAGAGCUCGUAGGUGGUUUGUCGCGUUGUUCGUGAAAACUCACAGCUUAACUGUGGGCGUGCGGGCGAUACGGGCAGACUUGAGUACUGCAGGGGAGACUGGAAUUCCUGGUGUAGCGGUGGAAUGCGCAGAUAUCAGGAGGAACACCGGUGGCGAAGGCGGGUCUCUGGGCAGUAACUGACGCUGAGGAGCGAAAGCGUGGGGAGCGAACAGGAUUAGAUACCCUGGUAGUCC